AUGAGUGACAACUACUGCUUGAUCAUGAGUUGGAAUGUGUGUGACAUGAACAUGCCGGCUAGGCGUGACGCGAUCAAAGAGGUAGUUUCUGCCCACAAAGUAGUGAUCCUUUAUUUGCAAGAAACAAAGAUUGAGAGCUGGAGCCCAAGCUUUGUCAGGGAUGUAGGUGGCCUCCAGCUCCAAGGCUGCGUCGUGCUCCCGGCGAUCGGCACCAGGGGAGGUGCCGCCAUCUUCAGGGAUAGCAAUAUAGUUUCGGCUGUCUCUAGUGUUGUUGGCUAG
Molecule: ribosomal RNA, 279 nt
Filed under: Triticum aestivum (bread wheat)
Lineage: Eukaryota; Viridiplantae; Streptophyta; Magnoliopsida; Poales; Poaceae
Description: partial small subunit ribosomal RNA
Source: RNAcentral